RNAcentral lists this ribosomal RNA (468 nucleotides) under uncultured bacterium. Its description in RNAcentral is "partial 16S ribosomal RNA". It matches the Rfam family "Bacterial small subunit ribosomal RNA", at positions 28 to 507 of the family's 1533-position model. The record is from RNAcentral.
GACGAACGCUGGCGGCGUGCUUAACACAUGCAAGUCGAAUGGAAAGGCCCUGCUUUUGUGGGGUGCUCGAGUGGCGAACGGGUGAGUAACACGUGAGUAACCUGCCCUUGACUUUGGGAUAACUUCAGGAAACUGGGGCUAAUACCGGAUAGGAGCUCCUGCUGCAUGGUGGGGGUUGGAAAGUUUCGGCGGUUGGGGAUGGACUCGCGGCUUAUCAGCUUGUUGGUGGGGUAGUGGCUUACCAAGGCUUUGACGGGUAGCCGGCCUGAGAGGGUGACCGGCCACAUUGGGACUGAGAUACGGCCCAGACUCCUACGGGAGGCAGAAGUGGGGAAUAUUGCACAAUGGGCGGAAGCCUGAUGCAGCAACGCCGCGUGCGGGAUGACGGCCUUCGGGUUGUAAACCGCUUUCGCCUGUGACGAAGCGUGAGUGACGGUAAUGGGUAAAGAAGCACCGGCUAACUACGUG